This 1201-nucleotide ribosomal RNA is filed under the name Enterococcus faecalis EnGen0220. RNAcentral's name for it is "bacterial SSU rRNA". It matches the Rfam family "Bacterial small subunit ribosomal RNA", at positions 335 to 1528 of the family's 1533-position model. Lineage: Bacteria; Bacillati; Bacillota; Bacilli; Lactobacillales; Enterococcaceae. The record is from RNAcentral.
ACUCCUACGGGAGGCAGCAGUAGGGAAUCUUCGGCAAUGGACGAAAGUCUGACCGAGCAACGCCGCGUGAGUGAAGAAGGUUUUCGGAUCGUAAAACUCUGUUGUUAGAGAAGAACAAGGACGUUAGUAACUGAACGUCCCCUGACGGUAUCUAACCAGAAAGCCACGGCUAACUACGUGCCAGCAGCCGCGGUAAUACGUAGGUGGCAAGCGUUGUCCGGAUUUAUUGGGCGUAAAGCGAGCGCAGGCGGUUUCUUAAGUCUGAUGUGAAAGCCCCCGGCUCAACCGGGGAGGGUCAUUGGAAACUGGGAGACUUGAGUGCAGAAGAGGAGAGUGGAAUUCCAUGUGUAGCGGUGAAAUGCGUAGAUAUAUGGAGGAACACCAGUGGCGAAGGCGGCUCUCUGGUCUGUAACUGACGCUGAGGCUCGAAAGCGUGGGGAGCAAACAGGAUUAGAUACCCUGGUAGUCCACGCCGUAAACGAUGAGUGCUAAGUGUUGGAGGGUUUCCGCCCUUCAGUGCUGCAGCAAACGCAUUAAGCACUCCGCCUGGGGAGUACGACCGCAAGGUUGAAACUCAAAGGAAUUGACGGGGGCCCGCACAAGCGGUGGAGCAUGUGGUUUAAUUCGAAGCAACGCGAAGAACCUUACCAGGUCUUGACAUCCUUUGACCACUCUAGAGAUAGAGCUUUCCCUUCGGGGACAAAGUGACAGGUGGUGCAUGGUUGUCGUCAGCUCGUGUCGUGAGAUGUUGGGUUAAGUCCCGCAACGAGCGCAACCCUUAUUGUUAGUUGCCAUCAUUUAGUUGGGCACUCUAGCGAGACUGCCGGUGACAAACCGGAGGAAGGUGGGGAUGACGUCAAAUCAUCAUGCCCCUUAUGACCUGGGCUACACACGUGCUACAAUGGGAAGUACAACGAGUCGCUAGGCCGCGAGGUCAUGCAAAUCUCUUAAAGCUUCUCUCAGUUCGGAUUGCAGGCUGCAACUCGCCUGCAUGAAGCCGGAAUCGCUAGUAAUCGCGGAUCAGCACGCCGCGGUGAAUACGUUCCCGGGCCUUGUACACACCGCCCGUCACACCACGAGAGUUUGUAACACCCGAAGUCGGUGAGGUAACCUUUUUGGAGCCAGCCGCCUAAGGUGGGAUAGAUGAUUGGGGUGAAGUCGUAACAAGGUAGCCGUAUCGGAAGGUGCGGCUGGAUCACCU